This 268-nucleotide ribosomal RNA is filed under the name uncultured bacterium. RNAcentral's name for it is "partial 16S ribosomal RNA". It matches the Rfam family "Bacterial small subunit ribosomal RNA", at positions 793 to 1055 of the family's 1533-position model. The record is from RNAcentral.
GUCCACGCAGUAAACGAUGUUCACUAGGUGUCGGUCCCGUUAAAUCGGGGCCGGUGCCGCAGCUAACGCAUUAAGUGAACCACCUGGGGAGUACAGUCGCAAGGCUGAAACUCAAAGGAAUUGACGGGGACCCGCACAAACGGUGGAGCAUGUUGUUUAAUACGACGAUACGCGUGGAACCUUACCCAGGCUUGACAUGCACGGGAAGACCUUAUGAAAGUAGGGUUGUCUCUCAAGGACUCGUGCACAGGUGUUGCAUGGCUGUCGU